This 208-nucleotide ribosomal RNA is filed under the name uncultured bacterium. RNAcentral describes it as "partial 16S ribosomal RNA". It matches the Rfam family "Bacterial small subunit ribosomal RNA", at positions 568 to 775 of the family's 1533-position model. The record is from RNAcentral.
CGCGUAGGCGGUCUUCUAAGUUCCGUGUGAAAUCCCUCGGCUCAACUGGGGAACGGCACGGAAGACUGGAUGGCUUGAGUUCGGGAGAGGGAAGCGGAAUUCCGGGUGUAGCGGUGAAAUGCGUAGAUAUCCGGAGGAACACCAGUGGCGAAGGCGGCUUCCUGGACCGACACUGACGCUGAGGCGCGAAAGCUAGGGGAGCAAAACG